RNAcentral lists this ribosomal RNA (220 nucleotides) under uncultured bacterium. RNAcentral describes it as "partial 16S ribosomal RNA". It matches the Rfam family "Bacterial small subunit ribosomal RNA", at positions 57 to 305 of the family's 1533-position model. The record is from RNAcentral.
GCAAGUCGAGCGCGCCCUUCGGGGCGAGCGGCGGACGGGUUAGUAACGCGUGGGAACAUACCUUUCACUACGGAAUAGCCAUUGGAAACGAUGAGUAAUACCGUAUACGCCCUUCGGGGGAAAGAUUUAUCGGUGAAAGAUUGGCCCGCGUUAGAUUAGAUAGUUGGUGGGGUAAUGGCCUACCAAGUCACCGAUCUAUAGCUGGUUUGAGAGGAUGAUC